Molecule: transfer RNA, 34 nt
Filed under: Citrus gracilis
Lineage: Eukaryota; Viridiplantae; Streptophyta; Magnoliopsida; Sapindales; Rutaceae
Description: partial tRNA-Asp
Source: RNAcentral
UCGGGACUGACGGGGCUCGAACCCGCAGCUCCGC